RNAcentral lists this long non-coding RNA (225 nucleotides) under Elaeis guineensis (African oil palm). RNAcentral describes it as "long non-coding RNA (EGUI_LNC018965)". Lineage: Eukaryota; Viridiplantae; Streptophyta; Magnoliopsida; Arecales; Arecaceae. The record is from RNAcentral.
GGUACAGGCCCUGGAUCACUUUUCGAGCGUCCUCGUACCCCACUCGAUACGAGAUGAAACCGCUCUCCAAGAGUUCCUCCCGAUAUUCAUCGGAGCCGCGAAAGUCCUCCACGGCCCGACCUAUAGCCUCUUUCGCCGACUCUGCCUCCGCUCUCGCUAUGUCUGCGUCGGCUUGAGCGGAGGAUAAAUUCUCCUCGACCUUGACGAGAUUUUUCAAACUUACCC